GGAAGAAAUGCUCUUUUCAUGCUUGGUUGCUAAGCACAGGGAAAGCCUUUCUAAAAAUGAAGCCAAUGCAGAAGAAAGCUGAGCAAAAGCUAGAGAGAAGCCAUAGUGUCAUAAUGCCUGGAUUCAGCGGCCUGAGAAGUACGAAGUGUUUAAGGGCACCCACAGGAAUGACCAGGACUGGAAUCUUGGCUCCACUACAUGCUUAUUGUGUAACCUUGGGCAAAUUACUUACUGGAAUCUCACUUGCAAGGCUGCUGUGAUGCUUGACUGAGACUGCGUGGUUCUAAGCACAGGGUAGAGCACCCAGUCCAGUGCUAUAAACGGUAGAUAUUGUGCAUAUUUAUACAGACAUUGAAUAAAAUUGGAGUCAUGCUGUUUUAUAACUUCCCCUUUUCACUUACCAGCAUGUCUUGAGUGCUUCCUCAUAUCUUUAAUAGCCUUCAAGAGCGUGAGAUUUAAUUUCUGCCCAGCCUGCCACCUCUGAACACGGCAUCAUCUAUUUACCCAAUUCCUGCUGUUGAACGUUUAGGGAAUUUCCAAUUUUCCCCAGUUAUGAAGACGACCAGGAUAAAUAAUCUUUGAUUUUAGGGUAUAUCCUGGAAGGAGAAUUGCUAAAUCAAAGCAUAACUCUUUUCAAAGCUUUUGGACAUUAAAAAAAUGUACCAAUGGUCGUCAGAAACGCUGCACAAUUUACCUCCUCGACAGAGAAAAAGGCACUGACUUCCACAGUCUACCAACAUCUGAUGUUUUCAUUAUUUUUAUCUUGACCAAUUCUAUACGCAAGAAGAGCCGGAAUCUUCUUUUCAUUUGUACUUCGCGA
This is a long non-coding RNA of Camelus dromedarius (Arabian camel), 820 nucleotides long. RefSeq lists it as uncharacterized. The transcript has 3 exons. NCBI's taxonomy places the organism in Eukaryota, Metazoa, Chordata, Mammalia, Artiodactyla, Camelidae. The record is from RefSeq and is a predicted model, not a curated record.